GCACAGCAACGGGUGGAGCGUGCGGUUUAAUUGGAUUCAACGCCGGAAAUCUCACCGGAGGCGACGGUUAUAUGAAGGCCAGGCUGAUGACCUUGCUUGAUUUUCCGAGAAGUGGUGCAUGGCCGUCGUCAGUUCGUACCGUGAGGCGUUCUGUUAAGUCAGCCAACGAACGAGACCCUCAUCUUUAGUUGCUACUAGUAAGUCCGCUUAUUAGGCACACUAAAGAAACCGCUGGCGAUAAGUCAGAGGAAGGUGAGGGCAACGGUAGGUCAGUAUGCCCCGAAUCCUCCGGGCUACACGCGCGCUACAAAGGCUAGGACAAUGGGCUUCAACACCGAAAGGUGACGGUAAUCCCGAAACCUAGUCGUAGUUCGGAUUGAGGAUUGAAACUCAUCCUCAUGAAGCUGGAAUCCGUAGUAAUCGCGGGUCAACAUCCCGCGGUGAAUAUGCCCCUGCUCCUUGCACACACCGCCCGUCAAACCAUGCGAGUUGGGUCUGAGUGAGGAUGUAGUUUUUGCUACGUUCAAACUUAGGCUUAGUAAGCGGGGUU
RNAcentral lists this ribosomal RNA (550 nucleotides) under uncultured archaeon. Its description in RNAcentral is "bacterial SSU rRNA". It matches the Rfam family "Archaeal small subunit ribosomal RNA", at positions 876 to 1429 of the family's 1478-position model. The record is from RNAcentral.